This 484-nucleotide ribosomal RNA is filed under the name uncultured bacterium. RNAcentral describes it as "partial 16S ribosomal RNA". It matches the Rfam family "Bacterial small subunit ribosomal RNA", at positions 30 to 507 of the family's 1533-position model. The record is from RNAcentral.
AUUGAACGCUAGCGGGAUGCUUUACACAUGCAAGUCGAACGGCAGCGCGGACUUCGGUCUGGCGGCGAGUGGCGAACGGGUGAGUAAUGUAUCGGAACGUGCCCAGUAGCGGGGGAUAACUACGCGAAAGCGUAGCUAAUACCGCAUACGCCCUACGGGGGAAAGCAGGGGAUCGUAAGACCUUGCACUAUUGGAGCGGCCGAUAUCGGAUUAGCAAGUUGGUGAGGUAACGGCUCACCAAGGCGACGAUCCGUAGCUGGUUUGAGAGGACGACCAGCCACACUGGGACUGAGACACGGCCCAGACUCCUACGGGAGGCAGCAGUGGGGAAUUUUGGACAAAGGGGGCAACCCUGAUCCAGCCAUCCCGCGUGUGCGAUGAAGGCCUUCGGGUUGUAAAGCACUUUUGGCAGGAAAGAAACGUCGCGGGCUAAUACCCCGUGGAACUGACGGUACCUGCAGAAUAAGCACCGGCUAACUACGUG